RNAcentral lists this ribosomal RNA (497 nucleotides) under uncultured bacterium. RNAcentral's name for it is "partial 16S ribosomal RNA". It matches the Rfam family "Bacterial small subunit ribosomal RNA", at positions 28 to 507 of the family's 1533-position model. The record is from RNAcentral.
GACGAACGCUGGCGGCGUGCCUAAUACAUGCAAGUAGAACGCUGAAGCGAGGAGCUUGCUCUUCUUGGAUGAGUUGCGAACGGGUGAGUAACGCGUAGGUAACCUGCCUUGUAGCGGGGGAUAACUAUUGGAAACGAUAGCUAAUACCGCAUAACAAUGGAUGACCCAUGUCAUUUAUUUGAAAGGGGCAAAUGCUCCACUACAAGAUGGACCUGCGUUGUAUUAGCUAGUGGGUGAGGUAACGGCUCACCUAGGCGACGAUACAUAGCCGACCUGAGAGGGUGAUCGGCCACACUGGGACUGAGACACGGCCCAGACUCCUACGGGAGGCAGCAGUAGGGAAUCUUCGGCAAUGGGGGCAACCCUGACCGAGCAACGCCGCGUGAGUGAAGAAGGUUUUCGGAUCGUAAAGCUCUGUUGUAAGUCAAGAACGAGUGUGAGAGUGGAAAGUUCACACUGUGACGGUAGCUUACCAGAAAGGGACGGCUAACUACGUG